Molecule: long non-coding RNA, 768 nt
Filed under: Medicago truncatula (barrel medic)
Lineage: Eukaryota; Viridiplantae; Streptophyta; Magnoliopsida; Fabales; Fabaceae
Description: lncRNA gene46883
Source: RNAcentral
UGGACCUCAUUACCUCCUUUAAACCAUAAGCUCAAUCAAGUGAGCUAACCGUACCCCUAAUCAAUGCUUUCAAAAUCGGGACGGACCGGCCGGUUGGACAGUGAACCGGACCAAGUCCCGGUCCGGACACCCAUACAGAACCGUUGUUCUUAAGAACCGGUAGAAAACCGGAAGAACCGGUGAUAAUCGCCGAACCGGUCACGGUUUGAUAAAACCAGACGGUCUCAAGUUUUUUUUUUCAAACAAAAAAUCUCAAUAUUUAGUUCAAGGUUGUUCGAAUCUGUUCAAAUCAACAGUUAAAACAAAAAAAAAAAAAGUUCAAAUCAACAAAUAAAUGAUUAAGAAAAUGAGAGGAUGUGAAGCAAAUGAGAUGAAGAGAUAGAUUGAAGCAGAUUGGACUGAUGAGGAAGGAAAAAAAGAAGAUGUAGAACGUGAACUGAGAUGAUGGAGAGAGAAAGUCUGGAAAAGGAAAACAGUAAAUUUUGUUUUAGGUUUCUAUCAACAAUAACGAAUAUUGAUUGGGCUUAUUUUUAACGUGGGCUUCAUUUUGCUAGUCCACUACUGGGCUUAGUGAAAAAAUUAGUUUGCGAUCUUGUUAAAUUUUACCGUGUUAAUUAUAAAUUUUAUAAUUUAUGUUAUUUAUUUAUUAUACGGUUCAAUAGCAGUUGAACUGGUUAAACCAUGAAUCGGGGCUAUCACCAGUUUGAUCUCCGGUCCGGUUUUAAAAACAUUGGCCCUAAUGCAUUUCAUUAUCUUCAGUUUUAUGUU